GACGAACGCUGGCGGCGUGCUUAACACAUGCAAGUCGAACGGAAAGGCCCUGCUUGCAGGGUACUCGAGUGGCGAACGGGUGAGUAACACGUGGGUGAUCUGCCCUGCACUUCGGGAUAAGCCUGGGAAACUGGGUCUAAUACCGGAUAGGAGCCAUUUUUAGUGUGAUGGUUGGAAAGUUUUUUCGGUGUAGGAUGAGGUCGCGGCCUAUCAGCUUGUUGGUGGGGUAAUGGCCUACCAAGGCGGCGACGGGUAGCCGGCCUGAGAGGGUGGACGGCCACAUUGGGACUGAGAUACGGCCCAGACUCCGACGGGAGGCAGCAGUGGGGAAUAUUGCACAAUGGGCGCAAGCCUGAUGCAGCGACGCCGCGUGGGGGAUGACGGCCUUCGGGUUGUAAACUCCUUUCGCUAGGGACGAAGCUUUUUGUGACGGUACCUAGAUAAGAAGCACCGGCUAACUACGUG
This 465-nucleotide ribosomal RNA is filed under the name uncultured bacterium. Its description in RNAcentral is "partial 16S ribosomal RNA". It matches the Rfam family "Bacterial small subunit ribosomal RNA", at positions 28 to 507 of the family's 1533-position model. The record is from RNAcentral.